RNAcentral lists this ribosomal RNA (253 nucleotides) under uncultured bacterium. RNAcentral describes it as "partial 16S ribosomal RNA". It matches the Rfam family "Bacterial small subunit ribosomal RNA", at positions 524 to 776 of the family's 1533-position model. The record is from RNAcentral.
UACGGGGGGGGCAAGCGUUGUUCGGAAUUACUGGGCGUAAAGGGUUCGUAGGUGGCUCGCUAAGCCAGACGUGAAAUCCCUCAGCUUAACUGGGGAACUGCGUCUGGGACUGGAGAGCUGGAGUGCAGGAGAGGAACGCGGAAUUCCAGGUGUAGCGGUGAAAUGCGUAGAUGUCUGGAGGAACACCGGUGGCGAAGGCGGCGUUCUGGACUGCAACUGACACUGAGGCGCGAAAGCUAGGGGAGCAAACGGG